AGAGGGAGGAGACAAACGAACCGAGGCGGGAGCGGCCACGGGUGACAGCGGCAGCGGCGGGGCCGGGCUGCGCUCCCGAAGGCGUUCCUGGAGGGCCCUGGGAUGGACUCAGAGAUCCCCAGAGCCCCAGGGGACGGAAAAUCUAGCCCCGGGCACUUGCCUUGGAGUCUGAGUGAUGCGCGUCGUUGGAGCGCGAAGCCGGUCUCCCUAGCCUCCGCCCGACACAGCGUCUCCAGGGGUUUUCCUCCUUUUCGCGCCUCUCCUUCCCUCUUCCCCACACCAUUUGAGAGCCUCAAAUGGUAGUCCUGCCGCCACCUCUCUCCCUUCGCCAGCCUGCCAUCGUCCCCAUGGGUGCAGAUAUGCGCUCCCGAAGCCGCCUGCCUGCCGCGUCUGCCUCGGGCAUCAGCCCACGAGUGGGGAGUCGGCUCAGCUUGCCACGAGGGAACCUCGGGUUAGGACCAAUCGCCCGGGAGAGAGCCCUCCUCGCCCCCGCACCUCCUGCUCCAAGUCUCCUGUCCUGGUUAUCCCAAGUUCAGGGCCCACCUGGGGUCACAUGGGGAACUACUUGUCUUAAGGCUGUAAACAAUAGUUGGAAGAGGAGUUGCUAGCUUUUGAGAACUUCCAUGAUCAUCCAAAGUCUGAAACAAAGUAGGCGGUCAGCCUUUCAAAAUACGUGUUGGAAGAAACAGACACCUUCCCAUCCCCAGCGUUUGUUCAGUGCCUUGGUUGGGCUUUGAUUCUCACUGCUUUGUGAACUGUGCCAGUGAAAAGGGAGCCAGUUGACUCUUGACCUUCACAAGUAGGUAACCAUGAUGAAGUAACUAUGUCUGGGGAUCUGAGUCUCAGCUUUUUUGUGUCUAUAAAUUUGAUUAUAUUCAUUUACCUAUAGUUGGACAAGCUAACCUACCACCUGGACAUCAUAGUUUUGACUCCCCAAAUUGGACUGGGUAUCCAUUCUAUGUGUUCUCUGUGUGCCUGUCAUGGUAUUUGUCACACUGUACUGUAAUUCCCUCUGUGCCAGUAGAUUGUUUGCUCCUGCCAUACAUAUACACAUGCACAUACAUACUUUUUCUGCUAUAUGUUACACAUUUCUUUUGAUUUAUUAUUUGUCAUCUACAUUUGUAUACAGAAGUUUUAAUUUUCAUUAGCCAAAAUGCUAAUGAAAUCACAUAGAUAUUAAAGGGAUACUUGGAACAACUUUAUGCCAAUAAAUUCAGUAACUUAAGCAAAAUGGACAAAUUCCUAAAAAAAUAAAUAAAUAAAUUACCAAAAAUGACACAAAAGAAGGAAAAGAAAAUCUAAAUGUUUCAGUGUCUGUUAAAAAAAUUGAAUUUAUAAGCAAAACACUUGCCACAAAGAAAACUCCGGGCAGAUGACUGCACCAGUGAAUUUUAUCAGACAUUUAAGGGGGACA
This 1414-nucleotide long non-coding RNA is filed under the name Homo sapiens (human). RNAcentral describes it as "non-protein coding CEP83-DT:11". The record is from RNAcentral. Lineage: Eukaryota; Metazoa; Chordata; Mammalia; Primates; Hominidae.